RNAcentral lists this ribosomal RNA (259 nucleotides) under uncultured bacterium. RNAcentral describes it as "partial 16S ribosomal RNA". It matches the Rfam family "Bacterial small subunit ribosomal RNA", at positions 74 to 334 of the family's 1533-position model. The record is from RNAcentral.
CUUAGCUUUCUUUACUGGCGACCGGCGCACGGGUGAGUAACACGUAUCCAACCUGCCCUUUACUCGGGGAUAGCCUUUCGAAAGAAAGAUUAAUACCCGAUAGUAUAAUGAUUCCGCAUGGUUUCAUUAUUAAAGGAUUCCGGUAAAGGAUGGGGAUGCGUUCCAUUAGGUUGUUGGUGAGGUAACGGCUCACCAAGCCUUCGAUGGAUAGGGGUUCUGAGAGGAAGGUCCCCCACAUUGGAACUGAGACACGGUCCAA